UCGAUCUGUUGCGGGCAGAUAAAGUGGAUAUGGGUGUCGAUGCCGCCUGCGGUAAGGAUCAUGCCUUCGCCGGCGAUCACUUCGGUGCUGGCGCCGAUGGCGAUGGUGACGUUGGGCUGGAUAUCCGGGUUGCCGGCCUUGCCGAUGGCGUGGAUGCGCCCGUUCUUGAGGCCCACAUCGGCUUUGACAAUGCCCCAGUGAUCGAUAAUCAGCGCAUUGGUGAUCAGCGUGUCGACCACUUCACUGGCGAGCAGUUGGCUCUGCCCCAUGCCGUCAC
Molecule: small RNA, 277 nt
Filed under: Pseudomonas bubulae
Lineage: Bacteria; Pseudomonadati; Pseudomonadota; Gammaproteobacteria; Pseudomonadales; Pseudomonadaceae
Description: 5' ureB small RNA
Rfam family: 5' ureB small RNA
Source: RNAcentral